Molecule: ribosomal RNA, 429 nt
Filed under: Actinomycetes bacterium
Lineage: Bacteria; Bacillati; Actinomycetota; Actinomycetes
Description: Actinobacteria bacterium partial 16S ribosomal RNA
Rfam family: Bacterial small subunit ribosomal RNA
Source: RNAcentral
UAGGGAAUCUUCCGCAAUGGGCGAAAGCCUGACGGAGCAACGCCGCGUGAGUGAUGAAGGUCUUCGGAUCGUAAAACUCUGUUAUUAGGGAAGAACAAAUGUGUAAGUAACUAUGCACGUCUUGACGGUACCUAAUCAGAAAGCCACGGCUAACUACGUGCCAGCAGCCGCGGUAAUACGUAGGUGGCAAGCGUUAUCCGGAAUUAUUGGGCGUAAAGCGCGCGUAGGCGGUUUUUUAAGUCGGAUGUGAAAGCCCACGGCUCAACCGUGGAGGGUCAUUGGAAACUGGAAAACUUGAGUGCAGAAGAGGAAAGUGGAAUUCCAUGUGUAGCGGUGAAAUGCGCAGAGCUAUGGAGGAACACCAGUGGCGAAGGCGACUUUCUGGUCUGUAACUGACGCUGAUGUGCGAAAGCGUGGGGAUCAAACAGG